Molecule: ribosomal RNA, 253 nt
Filed under: uncultured prokaryote
Description: partial 16S ribosomal RNA
Rfam family: Bacterial small subunit ribosomal RNA
Source: RNAcentral
ACGUAGGGUGCGAGCGUUAAUCGGAAUUACUGGGCGUAAAGUGUGCGCAGGCGGCAGAGCAAGUCGAGUGUGAAAGCCCCGGGCUUAACUUGGGAAUUGCGCUCGAAACUACUUUGCUGGAGUGUGGCAGAGGAAGGUGGAAUUCCACGUGUAGUGGUGAAAUUCGUAGAUAUCGAGAGGAACACCAGUGGCGAAGGCGGCGACCUGGACGGACACUGACGCUGAGACGCGAAAGCGUGGGGAGCAAACAGGA